CACAGGAAAAAUAGCAGAGUAGUUUUUCCAGAGUAAUUAUUUUUUUCCUCAAAAAGAGUUGUUUUUUAUCUAUUUUGAGUGAACAGAGUAAAAUGUGUCCAUAGAGUGGGAGCAAAAUUAUAGAGUAACUGUGACUCCUCCCCAAAAUCUUCUGCUCCCUAAGUUUCGUUUGUCAGCCAUUACUGUUCUACACGGCCAUCGCGAUCGCGAUCUGCAUUUGGAUUUGGAAGAGAUCGUUGUGCUACUGCUGGAUUUAAAAAAUGCAAACCAACAACGUUGUGAGACUGAGAGUGAAGUUCAAAGACACCAAGAAAUAUAUUUUUUCUCCAACACCUUUUACAUUUCAAGAAUAUGCAAAGGGAAUCAUCUCCCUAUUCCCAUACUUGGCAGAAUGGGUCACCCAGGAUCAAGCUUGGUUAUGAGCAUUAUUACAAUCCAGAAGAUGGAAGUGGAUAUCUGGCAUGGAGAAUAAAAACCCUGCAGAAAGAAGAAUCAGAGGGACGGAUGAAAAGGCAACCACAAACAGGUGGGCCAACUACUGACAGGGAUCCCUUCAAAGCCGCGAGGCCUCAAACAGACUAGUGAGCUCCAAGACGUUAUCCAAAAUGCUGAAGGUUGGGACAGCGACAUGUCAUCCAUUCUGAUGCUGGUUCACCUUUUGCCACCCUCAAGUUAAGGCCGGGAAAGAUCUCAGCGAGAAAAGCGUGAUUCUUGUGAAAUUCAUCAAGGUGAAGCAACUGAUGAAGCAGAUAAAAUGACACUAGUUCAUAUGAAGAGUUCAGAUGCAAAAGCCUCUAAGUGCCAUUUGAAAUUUUCUUCUAGAAUGAUC
Pimephales promelas (fathead minnow) is the source of this 829-nucleotide non-coding RNA. NCBI's taxonomy places the organism in Eukaryota, Metazoa, Chordata, Actinopteri, Cypriniformes, Leuciscidae. The record is from RefSeq and is a predicted model, not a curated record.